AUCAAACUGACCAGUCCCAAAUAGGACGAAACGCGCGUCAAGCUGGAU
Molecule: non-coding RNA, 48 nt
Filed under: Schistosoma margrebowiei
Lineage: Eukaryota; Metazoa; Platyhelminthes; Trematoda; Strigeidida; Schistosomatidae
Source: RNAcentral